Molecule: ribosomal RNA, 318 nt
Filed under: Lactobacillus sp. L44
Lineage: Bacteria; Bacillati; Bacillota; Bacilli; Lactobacillales; Lactobacillaceae
Description: partial 16S ribosomal RNA
Rfam family: Bacterial small subunit ribosomal RNA (bases 123-318)
Source: RNAcentral
UUUGGUUUUGAGUACCAGUUCGUGACUUUCUAAGUAAUUACCGUCAAAUAAAGGCCAGUUACUACCUCUAUCUUUCUUCACUACCAACAGAGCUUUACGAGCCGAAACCCUUCUUCACUCACGCGGCGUUGCUCCAUCAGACUUGCGUCCAUUGUGGAAGAUUCCCUACUGCUGCCUCCCGUAGGAGUAGGGGGAAUCUUCCACAAUGGACGCANGUCUGAUGGAGCAACGCCGCGUGAGUGAAGAAGGGUUUCGGCUCGUAAAGCUCUGUUGGUAGUGAAGAAAGAUAGAGGGNGNAACUGGCCUUUAUUUGACGGU